Molecule: long non-coding RNA, 668 nt
Organism: Rhinichthys klamathensis goyatoka
Lineage: Eukaryota; Metazoa; Chordata; Actinopteri; Cypriniformes; Leuciscidae
Exons: 3
Source: RefSeq, a predicted model, not a curated record
UAGGGGAGAGUGGGGUAAGAUGAGCCAGUGGGUAAGUUGACCCACCCCCUGUUUCUAGGCAACUAUGCACAUUUGGUGUCAUGAGACCAUACAUUCUGAAGGACUCCAUCAUUUCUAUUUUGCUGUGAAGAGGAGAUGCACUUGGGACAAAAUCUAUCAUGCCAAGAACCUACAAAAGAAGAACCAACUGGGGCUCAACACCCUUAGAAGAAAUGGAGAGAGCAGCCAUUGAUGUUGAGGGCGGAAAAUCCAUCAGAUCAGUGGCGAAGGAUAGAAAUAUUGACAGGUCAACACUGCGGAGAUACAUAAAAAAGGAGGUAAAGACAGUCAAAACAGUAGGGUACAGUGGAACAGCAGAAGCCAAGAGGGUCUUCACAUUAGAGGUGGAAAAGGAGCUUGCCGAUCACAUCAAAAGGUUGGCUGAGCAGUUCCAUGGCCUCACUCCAUAGAAAUGCUGUGAACUGGCAUUCCAGUUUGCACAAAAAACAACAUCCCUGUCCCCAACAACUGGAAAGAGAAAGGUCUAGCAGGUCGAGAUUGGUUCAAGAACUUUAUGGCACGCCACCAUCUUUCCUGUCGUAUGCCUGAAACAACACCUUUAGGAAGAGCUACAGCCUUCAACAAAACUACAGUCGGGGAGUUCUUUGACAAUCAGACAAAAGUGAUGG